CUAUACAUGCAGUCGAGCGGAGUUUUGAAAAGCUUGCUUUUCAAAACUUAGCGGCGGACGGGUGAGUAACACGUGGGCAACCUGCCCUUGAGACGGGGAUAACUCCGGGAAACCGGAGCUAAUACCGGAUAACACAUAUCUUCGCAUGAGGAUAUGUUAGAAGGUGGCUUUUAGCUACCACUCAAGGAUGGGCCCGCGGCGCAUUAGCUAGUUGGUGAGGUAACGGCUCACCAAGGCGACGAUGCGUAGCCGACCUGAGAGGGUGAUCGGCCACACUGGGACUGAGACACGGCCCAGACUCCUACGGGAGGCAGCAGUAGGGAAUCUUCCGCAAUGGACGAAAGUCUGACGGAGCAACGCCGCGUGAGUGAUGAAGGUUUUCGGAUCGUAAAGCUCUGUUGUUAGGGAAGAACAAGUACCUGUUAAAUAAGCAGGUACCUUGACGGUACCUAACCAGAAAGCCACGGCUAACUACGUGCCAGCAGCCGCGGUAAUACGUAGGUGGCAAGCGUUGUCCGGAAUUAUUGGGCGUAAAGCGCGCGCAGGCGGUUCCUUAAGUCUGAUGUGAAAGCCCACGGCUCAACCGUGGAGGGUCAUUGGAAACUGGGGAACUUGAGUGCAGAAGAGGAGAGCGGAAUUCCACGUGUAGCGGUGAAAUGCGUAGAGAUGUGGAAGAACACCAGUGG
This 686-nucleotide ribosomal RNA is filed under the name Bacillus sp. (in: firmicutes). RNAcentral's name for it is "bacterial SSU rRNA". It matches the Rfam family "Bacterial small subunit ribosomal RNA", at positions 49 to 715 of the family's 1533-position model. Lineage: Bacteria; Bacillati; Bacillota; Bacilli; Caryophanales; Bacillaceae. The record is from RNAcentral. RNAcentral also lists the same sequence under 1 other name.